This 2031-nucleotide ribosomal RNA is filed under the name Myxobolus sp. d TM-2020. Its description in RNAcentral is "SSU rRNA". It matches the Rfam family "Eukaryotic small subunit ribosomal RNA". The record is from RNAcentral. Lineage: Eukaryota; Metazoa; Cnidaria; Myxozoa; Bivalvulida; Myxobolidae.
UGCAUGUUACAGUUCAUACAGUAUUAAUAGUGAGACUGCGGACGGCUCAGUAAAUCAGUUAUAAUCCGUUCGAAAGUAUCCCCAUUGGAUAACCGUGGGAAAUCUAGAGCUAAUACAUGUGUGAAUAGUGUUUGGUGGCUUGCUACCGGACGCUAGCAUUUAUUAGAAGUGACCAACUGUUUGUAGGCGCUGGAAACGGUGUCUGCAAUCAAGGUGAAUCUAGAUAACUGAGCUGAUCGCAUAGCCUAGUGCUGGCGAUGUUUCGAUCGAAUUUCUGCCCUAUCAACUUGUUGGUAAGGUAGAGGCUUACCAAGGUUGCAACGGGUAACGGGGAAUCAGGGUUCGAUUCCGGAGAGGGAGCCUGAGAAACGGCUACCACAUCCAAGGAAGGCAGCAGGCGCGCAAAUUACCCAAUCCAGACAAUGGGAGGUGGUGACCAGAAGUACUGGGCCUGGUGGAUUAUCAGUCUACCAAUCCCGGAAUGAGCAUACAAGUAAAGCAAGUUGAGUCGAGUAACAACUGGAGGGCAAGUCUGGUGCCAGCAGCCGCGGUAAUUCCAGCUCCAGUAGCAUGUCGUCAAAGUUGUUGCGUUUAAAACGCUCGUAGUUGGAUUAUAGCAGUGACGCUGUUGGUUGAGUUGCACAUGUCACCGUGCAAACUAACUGUUCGUGAAUGGAUUGGCGCAUGUUAACUCUGUGUUAAUCGUUGAUGGCAGUGUCGGUAGUGUUGCACGUUUUGUGCACUUCAGCAGCCGUGACGUAGUAAUUGCACGUAAGAAUGGUCGAUUGGCCUUAAGUGCGUUGGUCAGUCGUGUCUUACGGGAUGUGCCUUGAAAAAAUCAAAGUGCUCAAAGCAGGCUGAAAGCCUGAAUGAUGACAGCAUGGAACGAACAAUAGUGUAAAGUGCAUGGGUAGGGACGGUGAUGCUAUUGAGUGCAUUGGCUGUGCCUUGCAUCGACAGUCUACGCGACACCGACCAACCAUCAUAUACGGAUGUUGGUUUCCGUAUUGGGGUAAUGAUUAAGAGGAGCGGUUGGGGGCAUUAGUAUUUGGCAGCGAGAGGUGAAAUUCUUGGACCUGCCAAGGACUAACAAAUGCGAAGGCAUCUGUCCAGACCGUAUCCAUUAAUCAAGAACGAUAGUGAGAGGUUCGAAGACGAUCAGAUACCGUCCUAGUUCUCACCAUAAACGAUGCCGACCCGGAAUGAGCUUGGAGCUUUAUUUGUGCUCGAGGUUGGUUCCCCUGGGAAACCUAAAGUUUUUCGGUUGCGGGGGGAGUAUGGUCGCAAGGCUGAAACUUAAAGGAAUUGACGGAAGGGCACCACCAGGGGUGGAGCCUGCGGCUUAAUUUGACUCAACACGGGAAAACUUACUUGAUCCGGACAUCAGAAGGAUAAACAGACGGCACGAAUCUCUUUUGAUUUGGUGAUUGGUGGUGCAUGGCCGUUCUUAGUUCGUGGAGUGAUCUGUCAGGUUUAUUCCGGUAACGGACGAGACCACUAUCUCCAUUUGACGACUUAGAGAAGGCACCGAUAGUGAUAAAUUUUGGCAACAAGGUUUGUCACUAUUGGUGUUGCAGGCAUAAAAUUGACGGAUGUUGUUGAGCAAUCGAUGCGUCUGUCGAUUUUACUCCCUCUAAGCCGACAGUGCAUGCUUGCAAAGGCAUGUAUUGUAUCAUGGAGAGACAACGGAACAUAUCAAAAUCCGAGGAAGUGUGGCUAUAACAGGUCUGUGAUGCCCUUAGAUGUUCAGGGCUGCACGCGCGCUACAAUGACGAUGACAACGAGUUUCUGGAUUGAAAAAUUCGGGUAACCUUGCAAUCAUCGUCGUGAUGGGGACUGACGUUUGUAAAUACGUCACGAAAGAGGAAUCCCUAGUACACGCGAUUCAUGAAAUUGCGUGGAUUUAGUCCCUGCCCUUUGUACACACCGCCCGUCGCUACUACCGAGUGAAUGGUGUCAUAAUGCCUUGGGAGCGGAUUCUACAUGGGUUUUUGAUCCAUGUGGAACUGCAAUCAGCGUAGAAUGGCGCAA